Small nuclear RNA from Vulpes vulpes (red fox), 103 nucleotides. The record is from Ensembl. NCBI's taxonomy places the organism in Eukaryota, Metazoa, Chordata, Mammalia, Carnivora, Canidae.
ACGCUUCAGCAGCACAUAUACGAAAAUCAAAAUGAUGCAGAAAAGAUUGGCAUGGUCCCUGCCCAAGGAUGACAUACGUUAAAAUGAAUUCUUACCUUCUUUU